CAUCUGAAUCAAACACCCAACUCUUGGAACACAAAGUCAAUCACCAAAUCUUAAGACCCCAUCUAAAUCUAAGGUAGCCAGGCCAGUGUCACCUCCCAAAACUCGAUCUCGAAGUGCCACUAAGUCCUCAUCCUCAAACUGAUGGCUGCGAAUCCGAUCCAACAGAGAUGACUGAGCAUCCACAUAAGCUAGUACACACCGG
This 202-nucleotide long non-coding RNA is filed under the name Solanum tuberosum (potato). RNAcentral's name for it is "long non-coding RNA (STUB_LNC000897)". Lineage: Eukaryota; Viridiplantae; Streptophyta; Magnoliopsida; Solanales; Solanaceae. The record is from RNAcentral.